GUGGGGAAUCUUCCGCAAUGGACGAAAGUCUGACGGAGCAACGCCGCGUGAGUGAUGAAGGUCUUCGGAUUGUAAAGCUCUGUUAAUCGGGACGAAAGAGCCUAGUGUGAAUAAUGCUAGGAAGUGACGGUACCGGUAUAGAAAGCCACGGCUAACUACGUGCCAGCAGCCGCGGUAAUACGUAGGUGGCAAGCGUUGUCCGGAAUUAUUGGGCGUAAAGCGCGCGCAGGCGGAUCUGCCAGUCUGUCUUAAAAGUUCGGGGCUUAACCCCGUGAUGGGAUGGAAACUACAGAUCUAGAGUAUCGGAGAGGAAAGUGGAAUUCCUAGUGUAGCGGUGAAAUGCGUAGAUAUUAGGAAGAACACCAGUGGCGAAGGCGACUUUCUGGACGAAAACUGACGCUGAGGCGCGAAAGCCAGGGGAGCGAACGGGAUUAGAAACCCCAGUAGUCC
This 450-nucleotide ribosomal RNA is filed under the name uncultured bacterium. RNAcentral describes it as "partial 16S ribosomal RNA". It matches the Rfam family "Bacterial small subunit ribosomal RNA", at positions 354 to 796 of the family's 1533-position model. The record is from RNAcentral.